Candidatus Peribacteria bacterium is the source of this 836-nucleotide non-coding RNA. NCBI's taxonomy places the organism in Bacteria, Candidatus Peregrinibacteriota, Candidatus Peribacteria. The record is from Rfam.
AAAAAUGUUACUCAUCGCAUCACAUGGAUGCCUCGACUUUGCAUUCCGACGAAGGACGUGGCCAGCUACGAUAAGCUUCGGUGAGCCGCUAGGCAGGCGCUAUUAACCGGAGAUCUCCGAAUGGGGAAACCCCUGGGGAGUUAUGUCCCCAGACCCAACCUUACUUUUGAUUUCCAUAAUUUUGGGAAAGAUGUAAGACGUAAGCGAUAAGCUGUAAGAAAAUUUUUGCAGCUUGUGUCUUAUUGCUUAUGUCUUCAUGUCUGAAAGAAAUUUCCGCACCCAAUAUUUCGAAAUCAGUGGUGAGGUUGGGAGGUCACUCUGUGAACUGAAACAUCUCACGUAACAGAGGAAAAGAAAUCAUAUGAGAUUCCCUUAGUAGUGGCGAGCGAACAGGGAACAGCCCAAACCCGUCCCUCACUGCGUUCAGGACGGAAAAAAUAAGAAACAAGAAACAAGAUACAUGGAUCAUAGAUCGCCGAUCCUUUUUUGUAUCUUGGUAUUUGUUUCUUGAGUUUUCCCCGAGCAUAGCGAGGGGCGGGGGUUGUAGGACCUCGAUAUCUGACGUCUUUUGUAUAGGCAAACGUCCCUGGAACGGGCGGCCAUAGAGGGUGAGAGCCCCGUCGCCGAAAUACAGAAGCGCAGUAGAGUGUUCCUGAGUACGGUCGGACACGUGAAAUCCGGCCUGAAUCCGGGUGGACCACCAUCCAAGGCUAAAAAGAUGCAAAGAUCUAUAGCGGAUAGUACCGUGAGGGAAAGGUGAAAAGCACCCCGAAAGGGGGAUGAAAUAGUCUCUGAAAUGUGAUGCGUUCAAGGAGUCGGAGCGGGCUCCACUUUUU